Molecule: ribosomal RNA, 210 nt
Filed under: uncultured bacterium
Lineage: Bacteria
Description: partial 16S ribosomal RNA
Rfam family: Bacterial small subunit ribosomal RNA
Source: RNAcentral
UACGUAGGGUGCAAGCGUUGUCCGGAAUUAUUGGGCGUAAAGAGCUCGUAGGCGGUCUGUCACGUCGGCUGUGAAAACCCGAGGCUCAACCUCGGGCCUGCAGUCGAUACGGGCAGACUAGAGUUCGGUAGGGGAGACUGGAAUUCCUGGUGUAGCGGUGAAAUGCGCAGGAUAUCAGGAGGAACACCGGUGGCGAAGGCGGUCUCGUGG